This 253-nucleotide ribosomal RNA is filed under the name uncultured bacterium. RNAcentral's name for it is "partial 16S ribosomal RNA". It matches the Rfam family "Bacterial small subunit ribosomal RNA", at positions 524 to 776 of the family's 1533-position model. The record is from RNAcentral.
UACGUAGGCAGCAAACGUUGUUCGGAAUUACUGGGCGUAAAGAGUGUGUAGGCGGUUUUGUAAGUUUGGUGUGAAAUCUCCCGGCUUAACUGGGAGGGUGCGCCGAAAACUGCAAGGCUAGAGUAUUGGAGAGGAUAGCGGAAUUCCUGGUGUAGCGGUGAAAUGCGUAGAUAUCAGGAGGAACACCGGUGGUGUAGACGGCUAUCUGGACAAUUACUGACGCUGAGACACGAAAGCGUGGGGAGCAAACAGG